This 439-nucleotide long non-coding RNA is filed under the name Malus domestica (apple). Its description in RNAcentral is "long non-coding RNA (MDOM_LNC009967)". Lineage: Eukaryota; Viridiplantae; Streptophyta; Magnoliopsida; Rosales; Rosaceae. The record is from RNAcentral.
CUCCUUCUCAUUUUCUAUAAAAAAAUGUUCAUAUACACAAAGUGUGUAGGCAAAUGCUAGUAAUAAUAAUAAAAACUGGUUAAUCAGAUAAGAUCAUAAUAAUUCUCCUAAAAAUAUAGUUGAUAGUCUUAAAUAGUACUCUGUGACAUCCAUACAAGCUAUAACUCUGGUAUGACAAUAAUUUCCACCAACACAUAUGCAUGAUUGUGAACUAACAGAGUAUGGGAAGUUAUGUAGAAAAUAGGAAGAAGCAAGCAAGGGAAAGUUCCGAAAAAGCGAUUGAUCCACUUAAGAUAAGAUUGAUAAAUAGAGCAUGCGACAUGACAACACCAACCGGCAAAGUAGAACAUAUUUAUUUAAAAGAAUCGUCAGACAAAACAAAAAGCUAGAAGAAAGAUGAUCACUAGGGCCGGGAAUAGAAAAUAGUAGAGUGUGAAGG